RNAcentral lists this long non-coding RNA (4835 nucleotides) under Heterocephalus glaber (naked mole-rat). Its description in RNAcentral is "lncRNA (ENSHGLG00000038627.1)". The record is from RNAcentral. Lineage: Eukaryota; Metazoa; Chordata; Mammalia; Rodentia; Bathyergidae.
CGGGGAUUGAACUCUGGUCCUUGCGCUUGUGCAGCAGGUGGCGAAACCGCUGAGCUAAACCCCCGGCCCCUUUGGUGAAUUUCUUUACUGCUCCCUCCGCCAAGUCUGAGUAUGCAUGAAUACUAUUCUCCAGCAGACUAAUGUUAUAAUUACUAUCUCAUUGAAGGAAACAUUGGUUGCAAUCAGACAAACAAACUUUUCUCACUUUUGAUACCAAGGACAGGAAGAUUUGUGCAGCGUGACAGUAUGAGGGUAAUAUAGAAACUCCAGUAGGCAUACAGGUUUUUAAUGGAAUCUUGGCUUUAAUGCUCUGUUAGGGAGCAGUAUCUAUAGAUUUGCCCUUCUAUUAAAACAGAUAAGCAUAUGCAGCCAGAUGAUGCAGAGAUUUUUUUUUUUUUAAAAAACGAACUAAUUAUAGUAACUUUCUGCUGUAACUUGACAACCACUUUGAGUAAACUAAAUGUAUUUCCUACUUACACUUGCAUAGAUAAUACAAGAGUUUCUCAUAUGUGCUGAGCACCUGGUUUUAAUGUCAGGAGUAGUGUGAACAAACACCUGGCCUCUUGCUAAUGACUCAGAGGUACCUUGAUUCAUGAACUUAAUUCAUUCCAUGGUUCAUGGAGUUCUGGUCAUGAACUGAAUCAGAUUUCCCCAUGUAGUUAAAUGUAAAUAAGGUUAAUCCAUUCUUACCCCUGCAAACCUGGUCGCAAACAGAUUUUUGGUCACGAACUGAGUCAAAUUUUCCCAUAAAGUUAAAUUGGAAAUAAAGUUAAUCCAUUUUGAAACACAUGUAACAUUAUUAAAUCACAGAACUAGGAAACAAAGUACUGUAUGCAGAGAGAAAAUACUAGCCUUGUUUGAAGUGACUUAGGGUCUGGAGGACAGCAAGGUCAUGGGGAGGAGGUUGUUGUUGGGAGAGAGUCCCCUCCAUAAGGACGUGGGAAGGCCUCCUUCAGGAGUUUCUUUGUCUCCUAGCUGCAGGGUCAAUUUUAAUGAAAGAUCUGCCUAAUGUCACUUGCUUUUUCCUGUGCUGUGUGACCCUCCAGAAAUGAGAGACCACAUGAUUGCUCGGCAGAUACAACAUUCUGUUUGUUAGUUAUGUUGGGCUGGUGCUUCUCAAAGAAAUCCCGGCACUCAUUCCCUUUUUCCAUGUUGCAUUUUAUCACGUCCCUGGUAACCUCCUCCCUGUCUUCCUUUUCCUCGGUGGACUGCACUUCAACAAUCACCUUCUACUGUUCACUCUGGAAUUCAACAAGUUCUUCCAUUCGCAGCUCUUCCUUAUGGCCCUCAACGAGCUCCUCUAUGUCUGCACCAUCGAUGUCCAGACCCAUCCUCUUGCCCAUGGACACAGUCUCCUCCACUGCCUGUGCAUCUGGCCCUUCAAAGCCACAUUCAGUGACACAUUCUGGCCGCAGUUUCUCCAGGCUGAUUUAGGGUCUAGUAUGUGACAUCUUCUCAGGGUUUGUCAACGCGACUGAUUCAAUACGGGAUAUUGAAAUAUUUCUUCCAGAACUCUGACGCAGGGAUGUCUCUUCAGUAACAUUAAAACACCUGGUGGAUAGCUCUUUUGUGUACAGCUUUUUGAAGUUGCAGAUCACUUCCUGGUUCAUGGGCUGCAGAAGAGGUGUUGUGGGUGGGGAAAGAACUUGAUCUUUAUGAAAUCAUACUCAGCAUCCAUAUCAUGCACUGGAGGGUAUGCUGGGGCACUGUCCAUCAGAAGAAGGCACCUUUCAGGCAGCUGGUUGUCAAAAAGAUAUUUCUUAACAAUGGAUACAAACACCUCUUGCAGCCAUUUCAUGCACAAUUACCUUGCGACCCAAGCUCUCAUGUUGGCACUCCACAUGACAAGUAGUCUGGUUCUUGUUCCCUUGAAUGCGUGAGGGAUCUUGGAAUGGUACGCCAGUAGUGGCUUCAGAUUGGCGACUGUGUUCCCACACAACAAAAGCGUCAGCCUGUCCUUCAUGGGUUUGUGCCCCAGCAGUGCAUUUUUCUCCUUCAUGAUACAGACUUUGUCAGGCAUCUUCUUCCAGAAGAGCCCUGUUUCAUCACAGUCGAACACUUGUUGAGCGAUGUAUUAUUCUGCCUCCAUGAAUUCUGUGAAUUCUUUUUUGUAGGCUUCUGCAGAAGCCUUGUCAGAAUAGAAGCCUCACCCUGUCUUAUCACACUGUGGAUGCCACUUCUCUUGCAGAAUUUAUCAAACCACCCUCUACUGUCUUUCAAUUCAUCCCUUGUUGCCUUCAUUAACAAUAACAAAACAUAACCCACAUUUAUGUUCUAGGUUCUAGUCUCAGUGUUUCAUGUGUGUUCUCUCAUUUCAUCCCUACAGCUGCCUUAUGAGGCAGGAGAGUAAGAAACAUACUGCCUUUGUGGAGUUAUUGUGAAGAUGAAAUGGAGAGAAGAAUGAAAAAUAGUCCUACCCUGCUCCUGAAAAAAAAGAAAAAAGAGGAGAAAAGAGCAUGAUUCUAAAGAAAGGCCCCAUCAAACUAUCUGAUGAGAUCAUAUUUUACAUCUUUAUGUAAGUGGCUAAAGGAUUCAAGUUUGCAGCAUUCCAAAUGAAACCUCGGGAGAGAACUCACCAGCUGCUGAGUUAAGGGUGAGUGACAGGAUUUGGGAUUAAGGAUAUCUUGUAUGCAGAACUAAAAUCCCAAUUCAUUUCCCAGUGAUUGUACAUUGAGGAGUGGCUUAAUAGCCCAGGAGGAAUGGAAUGAGCUGAAUGAGAUAAAGUGUAAUUUGGUAUCUUAGACGCUUUAAAUAUCGAAAAGACAUUUGGCUGUUCAUAGAGAAUUUUCACGUUAUUUACAUAGCUGGCCUUUGGCGGUUCCCCAAGGUCCAGUCUACACAGGUCCUAGGGUCUGUGGGCUUGGCUGGGUAUUUAUUGCUCAUACUGUUCUGCAUCCACAAGCUGUGGCUGACACCAUCUGUCUUUAGUGCUGUAGUAACUGUACACUGGAGUUUUUCUGGAAAUUUAAGACCAGUCAGUUUUUCAGCCUUCUAUGCCAUUAUCCUUGCCCAUUAAGCCAAAAUUUAAUGCUUCUCCAUAUCAGUUUUAUUGCUUGUUAUCUCCAACCCUACCUCUCAUUGUUAGCUCUACAGUACAGGUCCUUCACGUUUCUCCUUAGAGCUGGUGUGCUAUUAAGCUUUGUCAAGAGAGUGUGUAGGAGUGACAUGAAAGGAAGCGACCUUUCUCUUCCUAGUGGUGGUGUUUCAUUAACUUCCUAUUUCUGCGGCGAGAUCCAUACAGAGGUGCGCUCCCCCACCAAAUUUCAGCACGCCCCUAGGAAGAUUUCCUAGGAGUCCUGUGGGCACCCCUCUGGUCCCUUCCUCUCUCAGCCUAAGGGGUGUUUCCUGGGUUCCAGUGCAGCAGGAGAAAUAGCAACCCCAAAGAUGUCCACGUCCUAAUAUUUAGAACCUGUGACUAUGUUAUGUAAGGUUGUGGAGGAAAUUAAGGUAACUGACAGAUCAUUCUAGAUUGUCCAGAAAAAGGCAGAAAAUGGAGUCAGUGAGAGUAAUAAUGGAAGCAAUUUUAGAGUAUUGCAAUAUGAGAGCUCAACCUGCUAUUGCUGACUUUGAAGAUGGAAAGCUUUGAAGAGCUCUAGCAUGGUAGCUAGAGAUGCAGCAGCCAUCUUGUGACCAUGAAGGACCAAAAGAAUUGCAGGAGAAUAGGCCUUGUAAUUAUGAAACUCUGCCUACUCCUGCAGCCUCUCACCUCAAGAUUUCUGGGUAUAUAAAACAAAAACAAAACAGACACCACUGAUUUUCUUUAAAGUACAAUGAUUACUUGCAGCCAAAAUGAAUUCUGUUGCACCAUACUAGGAAGAAUCUGGUCGUUCUUCUCUAAGUUUUCAUUUCACAGGUGGCACAGUUUUCUAGUCCAUUGUCAUCAAAUAUUUAUUAAUUUUUGUUUGCCUGUCUCACAUUUCUAAUGGUCUGAGCUCCUUGGGGUCAAGAAAUUAAUUUUAUUGGUACACUUUUGAUAUGCAUAAUGACCACUUUUGUAGUAGGGAAUUUGUGCCUGUACAUAAUAUAUCUUGAUUCUUCAUUUUUUCCCAUUCCCUUCCCCUCUCUUCAACCCUUCUUCCCCCACUUUACAAAAAUUUUACUUCCAUUUUUUAUUUCUAUUUUUUUCCUUUUCCCUUCCCUCCCUUCACCCAUGUGAACAUUUUCUUUCCACUUCCCAAUAUCUAUCAUCCAUUUUGGUCCUUAUUUAUGCUUUCCAGUUUCACAUAGAAACAAUGUGAUAUUUAAACGUAUGGCUGAUCUCGUGGUCCAUCCAUUUACCUAAAAAUGUCUCAAAUUUAUCCUUCUUUAUGGCAGAGUAAAACAUCAUUGUAUGUAAAAACCACAUUUUCUUUAUCCUUUCAUCCAAUGAUGCUCAUCUGGGCUGUUUCCAAGAUUUAGCUAUUAAAAAUUGUGCUGCUAUAAACAUGGGUGUGCAUAUAUCACUGUGGUAUGAUACUUUUAACUUUUUUGGGAAGAUACCAAGAAGGGGAAUAGGUGGGUCAAAUGGAACCUCUAGUUUAAGUUUUUUGAGGAAUCUCCAUAUUUCUUUCCAUAUUGGCCAUUUAUCUUCCAGCAGAUUGUUUCUGUUUUAAUAUUUAGAUCUUUGAUCCAUUUUGAUUUUAGUUUAGUGCAUGUUGAGAUAUAUUGGUCUAGGUUCAAACUUCAGCAUGUACAAAUCCAGUUUCCCCAGCACCACUUAUUAAAGAGGCUGUCUUUCUCCCAGUGAAGACAUUUGGCCACUUGGUCAAAAAUAAGGUGGCUGAGUAUGUUUGGAGUUUUCUACAUCUUCUGUACUGUUCCAUUGAUCCUCAAGUCUGUUUUGUUUUGUUUUGCCA